GAUAUCAAGACGGGUACCCUCCCCAAGGACA
This 31-nucleotide transfer RNA is filed under the name Strigops habroptila (Kakapo). RNAcentral's name for it is "partial tRNA-Phe". The record is from RNAcentral. Lineage: Eukaryota; Metazoa; Chordata; Aves; Psittaciformes; Psittacidae.